GUUUGAUCAUGGCUCAGAUUGAACGCUGGCGGCAGGCCUAACACAUGCAAGUCGAACGGUAACAGGAAGCAGCUUGCUGCUUUGCUGACGAGUGGCGGACGGGUGAGUAAUGUCUGGGAAACUGCCUGAUGGAGGGGGAUAACUACUGGAAACGGUGGCUAAUACCGCAUAACGUCGCAAGACCAAAGAGGGGGACCUUCGGGCCUCUUGCCAUCAGAUGUGCCCAGAUGGGAUUAGCUUGUUGGUGAGGUAACGGCUCACCAAGGCGACGAUCCCUAGCUGGUCUGAGAGGAUGACCAGCCACACUGGAACUGAGACACGGUCCAGACUCCUACGGGAGGCAGCAGUGGGGAAUAUUGCACAAUGGGCGCAAGCCUGAUGCAGCCAUGCCGCGUGUAUGAAGAAGGCCUUCGGGUUGUAAAGUACUUUCAGCGGGGAGGAAGGUGUUGUGGUUAAUAACCGCAGCAAUUGACGUUACCCGCAGAAGAAGCACCGGCUAACUCCGUGCCAGCAGCCGCGGUAAUACGGAGGGUGCAAGCGUUAAUCGGAAUUACUGGGCGUAAAGCGCACGCAGGCGGUCUGUCAAGUCGGAUGUGAAAUCCCCGGGCUCAACCUGGGAACUGCAUUCGAAACUGGCAGGCUUGAGUCUUGUAGAGGGGGGUAGAAUUCCAGGUGUAGCGGUGAAAUGCGUAGAGAUCUGGAGGAAUACCGGUGGCGAAGGCGGCCCCCUGGACAAAGACUGACGCUCAGGUGCGAAAGCGUGGGGAGCAAACAGGAUUAGAUACCCUGGUAGUCCACGCCGUAAACGAUGUCUACUUGGAGGUUGUGCCCUUGAGGCGUGGCUUCCGGAGCUAACGCGUUAAGUAGACCGCCUGGGGAGUACGGCCGCAAGGUUAAAACUCAAAUGAAUUGACGGGGGCCCGCACAAGCGGUGGAGCAUGUGGUUUAAUUCGAUGCAACGCGAAGAACCUUACCUGGUCUUGACAUCCACAGAAGAAUCCAGAGAUGGAUUUGUGCCUUCGGGAACUGUGAGACAGGUGCUGCAUGGCUGUCGUCAGCUCGUGUUGUGAAAUGUUGGGUUAAGUCCCGCAACGAGCGCAACCCUUAUCCUUUGUUGCCAGCGGUUAGGCCGGGAACUCAAAGGAGACUGCCAGUGAUAAACUGGAGGAAGGUGGGGAUGACGUCAAGUCAUCAUGGCCCUUACGACCAGGGCUACACACGUGCUACAAUGGCGCAUACAAAGAGAAGCGACCUCGCGAGAGCAAGCGGACCUCAUAAAGUGCGUCGUAGUCCGGAUUGGAGUCUGCAACUCGACUCCAUGAAGUCGGAAUCGCUAGUAAUCGUGGAUCAGAAUGCCACGGUGAAUACGUUCCCGGGCCUUGUACACACCGCCCGUCACACCAUGGGAGUGGGUUGCAAAAGAAGUAGGUAGCUUAACCUUCGGGAGGGCGCUUACCACUUUGUGAUUCAUGACUGGGGUGAAGUCGUAACAAGGUAACCGUAGGGGAACCUGCGGUUGGA
This 1521-nucleotide ribosomal RNA is filed under the name Salmonella enterica. Its description in RNAcentral is "bacterial SSU rRNA". It matches the Rfam family "Bacterial small subunit ribosomal RNA". The record is from RNAcentral. Lineage: Bacteria; Pseudomonadati; Pseudomonadota; Gammaproteobacteria; Enterobacterales; Enterobacteriaceae. RNAcentral also lists the same sequence under 1 other name.